This 74-nucleotide transfer RNA is filed under the name Ammodytes personatus (Pacific sandeel). RNAcentral describes it as "tRNA-Val". It matches the Rfam family "tRNA". Rfam says of the family: Transfer RNA (tRNA) molecules are approximately 80 nucleotides in length. Their secondary structure includes four short double-helical elements and three loops (D, anti-codon, and T loops). RNAcentral also lists the same sequence under 1 other name. The record is from RNAcentral. Lineage: Eukaryota; Metazoa; Chordata; Actinopteri; Uranoscopiformes; Ammodytidae.
CAGCGCAUGGCUUAACUAGAUAAAGCGUCUCCCUUACACUGAGAAGACUGUCCGUGCAAAUCGGAUUGCCCUGA